GCCUCUGUAGCUCAGUCGGCAGAGCACCUCCAUGGUAAGGAGGGGGUCCUCGGUUCAAUUCCGAGCGGAGGCU
Molecule: transfer RNA, 73 nt
Filed under: Spirochaetes bacterium GWB1_66_5
Lineage: Bacteria; Pseudomonadati; Spirochaetota
Description: tRNA-Thr
Rfam family: tRNA
About the family: Transfer RNA (tRNA) molecules are approximately 80 nucleotides in length.
Source: RNAcentral